This 360-nucleotide ribosomal RNA is filed under the name Dziedzickia sp. JSM4. RNAcentral's name for it is "partial 16S ribosomal RNA". The record is from RNAcentral. Lineage: Eukaryota; Metazoa; Arthropoda; Insecta; Diptera; Mycetophilidae.
CGAAGGUAGCAUAAUCAGUAGUUUUUUAAUUGAAAACUUGUAUGAAUGGUUUUACGAAAUAUUAGCUGUUUCUAAAAAAUUAAUUGAAUUUUAUAUUUUAGUAAAAAAGCUAAAAUUAUAUUAAAAGACGAGAAGACCCUAUAGAUUUUUAUAAAAUUAUUAUUUUUAUUUUUAUAAUAUUUUUAAAAUUUAAGUUUAUGUUUUAUUUUAUUGGGGUGAUAGUAAAAUAUAUUAAUCUUUUAUUUAAUUUAUUCAUAAAUUAAUGAAUUAUUGAUCCAAUUAUUUUGAUUAAAAGAUUAAAUUACCUUAGGGAUAACAGCGUUAUUUUUUUGAAGAGUUCAAAUCGAUAAAAAAUUUUGC